GUCUGUGCUGGCCUCUUCGCGGGUAAACCCGCCCGUAGGAGCGGGUUCACCCGCGAAGAGGCCAGCACAGGC
RNAcentral lists this unclassified non-coding RNA (72 nucleotides) under Pseudomonas putida. The record is from RNAcentral. Lineage: Bacteria; Pseudomonadati; Pseudomonadota; Gammaproteobacteria; Pseudomonadales; Pseudomonadaceae.